Molecule: ribosomal RNA, 265 nt
Filed under: uncultured archaeon
Lineage: Archaea
Description: partial 16S ribosomal RNA
Rfam family: Archaeal small subunit ribosomal RNA
Source: RNAcentral
UAGCCGUAAACGAUACUCGCUAGGUGUCGGCCACGGUGCGACCGUUGUCGGUGCCGUAGGGAAGCCGUGAAGCGAGCCACCUGGGAAGUACGGCCGCAAGGCUGAAACUUAAAGGAAUUGGCGGGGGGAGGCACCACAACGGGUGGAGCUUGCGGUUUAAUUUGGAUUCAACGCCGGAAAUCUUACCGGGACCGGACAGCAACAUGAAGGCCAGGCUGAAGACUUUGCCGGAUUAGCUGAGAGGUGGUGCAUGGCGUAGUCGUGU